UCAAUAAGCGGAGGAAAAGAAACCAACAGGGAUUGCCUUAGUAGCGGCGAGUGAAGCGGCAAUAGCUCAAAUUUGAAAUCUGGCGCCUUCGGUGUCCGAGUUGUAAUUUGAAGAAGGUAUCUUUGGUUUUGGCUCUUGUCUAUGUUUCUUGGAACAGGACGUCAUAGAGGGUGAGAAUCCCGUCUGAUGAGAUGCCCAAUUCCAUGUAAAGUUCCUUCGACGAGUCGAGUUGUUUGGGAAUGCAGCUCUAAGUGGGUGGUAAAUUCCAUCUAAAGCUAAAUAUUGGCGAGAGACCGAUAGCGAACAAGUACUGUGAAGGAAAGAUGAAAAGAACUUUGAAAAGAGAGUGAAAAAGUACGUGAAAUUGUUGAAAGGGAAGGGUUUAAGGUCAGACUUGGUUUACCAGGCCAGCAUCGGUUUAGAUGGCAGGAUAAUGGCGUAGGAAUGUGGCUUUGCUUCGGUAAAGUGUUAUAGCCUGCGUUGAUACUGCCUAUUUAGACCGAGGACUGCGUCUUUGACAAGGAUGCUGGCUUAAUGGCCUUAAGCCACCCGUCUUGAAACUACGGA
This 567-nucleotide ribosomal RNA is filed under the name Yamadazyma mexicana. Its description in RNAcentral is "eukaryotic LSU rRNA". It matches the Rfam family "Eukaryotic large subunit ribosomal RNA", at positions 43 to 665 of the family's 3401-position model. Lineage: Eukaryota; Fungi; Ascomycota; Pichiomycetes; Serinales; Debaryomycetaceae. The record is from RNAcentral.